CAGCGGCCCUAGUGGUGAUCGUUAUUAUUGGGCCUAAAGCGUCCGUAGCCGGUUCGGUAAAUCUCUGGGUAAAUCGUUGGGCUUAACUCAACGAAUUCUGGGGAGACUGCCGAACCUGGGACCGGGAGAGGUCGGAGGUACUCCAGGGGUAGGGGUGAAAUCCUGUAAUCCUUGGGGGACCACCGGUGGCGAAAGCGUCCGACCAGAACGGGUCCGACGGUAAGGGACGAAGCCCUGGGGCGCGAACCGGAUUAGAUACCCGAGUAGUCC
Molecule: ribosomal RNA, 270 nt
Filed under: uncultured archaeon
Lineage: Archaea
Description: partial 16S ribosomal RNA
Rfam family: Archaeal small subunit ribosomal RNA
Source: RNAcentral